Molecule: non-coding RNA, 1007 nt
Organism: Peromyscus maniculatus bairdii (prairie deer mouse)
Lineage: Eukaryota; Metazoa; Chordata; Mammalia; Rodentia; Cricetidae
Source: RefSeq, a predicted model, not a curated record
ACUGCUAGUCAGAAGUGGUGCAGGGCCCUUCUGGGAGCCAGGUUGCAGGCUUGGCUUUGCCCAGAAGCUGGAUCCUUUGUUUUCAUUUGCUGUCCUGCGGAUUCUGCUACAGGGAGCUAUGAGGAGGCCAUGGGUGAACAUGAAGGCCACGACAUGCUAGUUUUGCUGGGUAGCUUCUCUGGAGUUCAUCUAUGUAGACCAGACUGUUCUCACACUUGGUAAUACUGCUACCUUCCAAGAGCUGAGAUUACAGUUGAGCACUGCUACAUACAUCUGUUUGGCAGAGUCAGAAACCCAGUGAAGAGACUGUGAGAGGUCAUCGCAUGAAGCUGUGAAGAUUACGCCAGUGUUGUAUUUUGAGAUGGUAAGAUAUUGAAAUGCCCAAGCUAUAAGACGUCUGCCAUGGGGAGCUGUAUACAGUGAGUGGAAGUAGCAAAGGAAAAACAUGUAUGAAAAAUUUCAGGGGUAGAGUUAUUUAAGCCCUUUGGGAAUGAAAACUAAACUGUCGGAAAAAGAGCUAUAAGAUUUGGUAAUUCUUGCUCAGAUUUAGUUUUGCCAUGGUCCAAUCUUCCCCCACUGUCCACAAUGUGUCCACAUUGCUUUCUUUUUUAAAAUUUUUAAAUUUUUUAAAAAAAUGUAUUUUUCUCUCAUACAAUAUAUUCCAACUACUAUUUUCCUCCCUUCACUCCUCCCAGUCCUCUCCACUGUUCCCCUCUCCACCAGAUCCACUCCUUCAUUUCCCUUCAGAAAAGAGCAGGCCUCCCAGAAAAAUGUACAUAACAAGUUAAAAUAAAACUAGACACAAACCCACAUGCCAAUGCUGGAUGAAACAACCUAGUAGGAGGGAAAGGGUUCUGAGAUCAGGCAAAAGAGUCAGAGACACCCCUCCACUCACACUUAUAGGAGUCUCACAAAAACACCAACCUACACAACAAUAACUUAUAUGCAGAGAAACUUGUUGCUGGAGGGCUUUUCUCCAGGUUCCCCAAGCCCCGCAGUCCCACAAU